RNAcentral lists this ribosomal RNA (878 nucleotides) under Citrobacter sp. Ce129. RNAcentral describes it as "partial 23S ribosomal RNA". It matches the Rfam family "Bacterial large subunit ribosomal RNA", at positions 644 to 1527 of the family's 2925-position model. The record is from RNAcentral. Lineage: Bacteria; Pseudomonadati; Pseudomonadota; Gammaproteobacteria; Enterobacterales; Enterobacteriaceae.
GGUUAACCGUAUAGGGGAGCCGAAGGGAAACCGAGUCUUAACUGGGCGUUAAGUUGCAGGGUAUAGACCCGAAACCCGGUGAUCUAGCCAUGGGCAGGUUGAAGGUUGGGUAACACUAACUGGAGGACCGAACCGACUAAUGUUGAAAAAUUAGCGGAUGACUUGUGGCUGGGGGUGAAAGGCCAAUCAAACCGGGAGAUAGCUGGUUCUCCCCGAAAGCUAUUUAGGUAGCGCCUCGUGAACUCAUCUUCGGGGGUAGAGCACUGUUUCGGCUAGGGGGUCAUCCCGACUUACCAACCCGAUGCAAACUGCGAAUACCGAAGAAUGUUAUCACGGGAGACACACGGCGGGUGCUAACGUCCGUCGUGAAGAGGGAAACAACCCAGACCGCCAGCUAAGGUCCCAAAGUCAUGGUUAAGUGGGAAACGAUGUGGGAAGGCACAGACAGCCAGGAUGUUGGCUUAGAAGCAGCCAUCAUUUAAAGAAAGCGUAAUAGCUCACUGGUCGAGUCGGCCUGCGCGGAAGAUGUAACGGGGCUAAACCAUGCACCGAAGCUGCGGCAGCGACACUAUGUGUUGUUGGGUAGGGGAGCGUUCUGUAAGCCGUUGAAGGUGUGUCGUGAGGCAUGCUGGAGGUAUCAGAAGUGCGAAUGCUGACAUAAGUAACGAUAAUGCGGGUGAAAAACCCGCACGCCGGAAGACCAAGGGUUCCUGUCCAACGUUAAUCGGGGCAGGGUGAGUCGACCCCUAAGGCGAGGCCGAAAGGCGUAGUCGAUGGGAAACAGGUUAAUAUUCCUGUACUUGGUGUUACUGCGAAGGGGGGACGGAGAAGGCUAUGUUAGCCGGGCGACGGUUGUCCCGGUUUAAGCAUGUAGGCGG